AAUCUGUGUUGCGGGCACUUUCUCGAGAGCUUCUUGAACCUCUCCCACGUCUCAAAUAGAGACUCUAAUUCCAAUUGUACAAGGAUGAGAUCUCAUUUCUAAGCUU
Small nucleolar RNA from Dioscorea cayenensis subsp. rotundata (Guinea yam), 106 nucleotides. The record is from RefSeq and is a predicted model, not a curated record. NCBI's taxonomy places the organism in Eukaryota, Viridiplantae, Streptophyta, Magnoliopsida, Dioscoreales, Dioscoreaceae.